UCGUGCUAGACGGGGAGUUAGCGGUGCCCUGUACCUGCAAUCCGCUAUAGCAGGGUCGAAUUCCGGCAUGAGGUCCUUCCUUUCAGCGCUGGCUGGGGAAGCGGAGUGUUGAGGGCUGGGUCCUGCGCGACGAAUCCUCGCCAACCCCGCCAGGCCCGGAAGGGAGCAACGGUACGCGAGGCUCUUCGGGUGCCGCAGGGGUGCCUGGUCGGAGCUACCAGCCCCGGUACAGCUGGGAGGGAGCGAUCGAGUGACGGUGCACGA
This 264-nucleotide signal recognition particle RNA is filed under the name Candidatus Caldatribacterium sp. RNAcentral's name for it is "signal recognition particle sRNA large type". It matches the Rfam family "Bacterial large signal recognition particle RNA". Rfam says of the family: The signal recognition particle (SRP) is a universally conserved ribonucleoprotein involved in the co-translational targeting of proteins to membranes. Archaeal SRP consists of a 7S RNA and homologues of the eukaryotic SRP19 and SRP54 proteins. RNAcentral also lists the same sequence under 1 other name. Lineage: Bacteria; Pseudomonadati; Atribacterota; Atribacteria; Atribacterales; Candidatus Caldatribacteriaceae. The record is from RNAcentral.